UGGCGAACGGGUGAGUAACACGUGAGUAACCUGCCCACAACUUUGGGAUAACGCUAGGAAACUGGUGCUAAUACUGGAUAUGUGCUCCUGCUGCAUGGUGGGGGUUGGAAAGCUCCGGCGGUUGUGGAUGGACUCGCGGCCUAUCAGCUUGUUGGUGGGGUAGUGGCCUACCAAGGCGGCGACGGGUAGCCGGCCUGAGAGGGUGACCGGCCACAUUGGGACUGAGAUACGGCCCAU
Molecule: ribosomal RNA, 237 nt
Filed under: uncultured Actinomycetales bacterium
Lineage: Bacteria; Bacillati; Actinomycetota; Actinomycetes; Actinomycetales
Description: partial 16S ribosomal RNA
Rfam family: Bacterial small subunit ribosomal RNA
Source: RNAcentral